RNAcentral lists this ribosomal RNA (787 nucleotides) under Bacillus sp. BAB-3750. RNAcentral's name for it is "bacterial SSU rRNA". It matches the Rfam family "Bacterial small subunit ribosomal RNA", at positions 12 to 781 of the family's 1533-position model. Lineage: Bacteria; Bacillati; Bacillota; Bacilli; Caryophanales; Bacillaceae. The record is from RNAcentral.
UUUGAUUCCUGCUCAGGACGAACGCUGGCGGCGUGCCUAAUACAUGCAAGUCGAGCGGACAGAUGGGAGCUUGCUCCCUGAUGUUAGCGGCGGACGGGUGAGUAACACGUGGGUAACCUGCCUGUAAGACUGGGAUAACUCCGGGAAACCGGGGCUAAUACCGGAUGCUUGUUUGAACCGCAUGGUUCAAACAUAAAAGGUGGCUUCGGCUACCACUUACAGAUGGACCCGCGGCGCAUUAGCUAGUUGGUGAGGUAAUGGCUCACCAAGGCAACGAUGCGUAGCCGACCUGAGAGGGUGAUCGGCCACACUGGGACUGAGACACGGCCCAGACUCCUACGGGAGGCAGCAGUAGGGAAUCUUCCGCAAUGGACGAAAGUCUGACGGAGCAACGCCGCGUGAGUGAUGAAGGUUUUCGGAUCGUAAAGCUCUGUUGUUAGGGAAGAACAAGUGCCGUUCAAAUAGGGCGGCACCUUGACGGUACCUAACCAGAAAGCCACGGCUAACUACGUGCCAGCAGCCGCGGUAAUACGUAGGUGGCAAGCGUUGUCCGGAAUUAUUGGGCGUAAAGGGCUCGCAGGCGGUUUCUUAAGUCUGAUGUGAAAGCCCCCGGCUCAACCGGGGAGGGUCAUUGGAAACUGGGGAACUUGAGUGCAGAAGAGGAGAGUGGAAUUCCACGUGUAGCGGUGAAAUGCGUAGAGAUGUGGAGGAACACCAGUGGCGAAGGCGACUCUCUGGUCUGUAACUGACGCUGAGGAGCGAAAGCGUGGGGAGCGAACAGGAUUAG